ACACGACUACAUUAGAUACCCGCGUAGUCCUAGCCGUAAACGAUACUCGCUAGGUGUCGGCCACGGUGCGACCGUUGUCGGUGCCGUAGGGAAGCCGUGAAGCGAGCCACCUGGGAAGUACGGCCGCAAGGCUGAAACUUAAAGGAAUUGGCGGGGAGCACCACAACGGGUGGAGCCUGCGGUUUAAUCGGACUCAACGCCGGGAAUCUCACCGGAUAAGACAGCUGAAUGAUUGCCGGGCUGAAGACCCUGCAUGACCAGCUG
RNAcentral lists this ribosomal RNA (264 nucleotides) under uncultured archaeon. RNAcentral describes it as "partial 16S ribosomal RNA". It matches the Rfam family "Archaeal small subunit ribosomal RNA", at positions 717 to 982 of the family's 1478-position model. The record is from RNAcentral.